GUACUGAGACACGGACCAGACUCCUACGGGAGGCAGCAGUGAGGAAUAUUGGACAAUGGGCGCAAGCCUGAUCCAGCCAUGCCGCGUGCAGGAAGACGGUCCUAUGGAUUGUAAACUGCUUUUGCACAGGAAGAAACAUCCCGACGUGUCGGGACUUGACGGUACUGUGAGAAUAAGGAUCGGCUAACUCCGGUGCCAGCAGCCGCGGUAAU
RNAcentral lists this ribosomal RNA (212 nucleotides) under uncultured Cytophagales ESR 21. RNAcentral's name for it is "partial 16S ribosomal RNA". It matches the Rfam family "Bacterial small subunit ribosomal RNA", at positions 316 to 524 of the family's 1533-position model. The record is from RNAcentral. Lineage: Bacteria; Pseudomonadati; Bacteroidota; Sphingobacteriia; Sphingobacteriales.